Molecule: ribosomal RNA, 2137 nt
Filed under: Minibiotus gumersindoi
Lineage: Eukaryota; Metazoa; Tardigrada; Eutardigrada; Parachela; Macrobiotidae
Description: eukaryotic LSU rRNA
Rfam family: Eukaryotic large subunit ribosomal RNA
Source: RNAcentral
UACUAAGCGGAGGAAAAGAAACCAACGGGGAUUCCCAUAGUAACUGCGAGUGAAAGGGGAACAGCCCAGCGCCGAAUCCUGUUGCUGGUAACGGUAACUGGAACUGUGGCGUGAAGAAGGUGGUUACCGAUGUGGCUUGCCUGCGUAAGUUCUCCUGAGUGAGGCUCCAUCCCAUGGAGGGUGCAAGGCCCGUAUCGUGGGUAGUCAAUGUCGGUAUACACUUUCGGAGAGUCGCCUUGUUUGCGAGUACAAGGUGAAGUCGGUGGUAAACUCCAUCGAAGGCUAAAUAUGACCACGAGUCCGAUAGCGAACAAGUACCGUGAGGGAAAAUUGAAAAGCACUUUGAAGAGAGAGCGAAACAGUGCGUGAAACCGUUCAGAGGCAAGCAAAUGGGGCCUCGAAGGCAGAGCAGCGAAUUCAGCUGGUAGUCUGUGUGGCUGGCUGGCUUUGUGAUCGUAAGACGCAAGUUGGUUAUGCUAGCGCAGCUGCUAGUGCACUUUCGCUGUUUGUACGCCACCGCCGUUGAGCGAGCAUCCGUCAGGUUGACGUGUGAAGCCUUACUCCUUUACGGGCGUAGGUGCUUACUGUCGACUAUGUACGCGUUUGCGCCUCAACCGGUCAUGUCAGCGUGUGCCAGCGUUAGCGUUGGGCUAGUACGCUCAGUCGAAUGUUGCGAGAUGACGAGCUUGCUCGGCUCUUCAACGUUUAGCUGACCCGUUGCUGGUUUUCAACGUGGGCACAUUGUAGAUUCGGUGGCGAGUAGACGGCUGCCCAUUUAACCCGUCUUGAAACACGGACCAAGGAGUUCAACAUGCGCGCUAGUUGUUGGGACUAAAAAGCCCGCUAGCAAAGUGAAAGCAAGACACAGUGCAACGCUGUGUAUUGGCGAGAUCCCGUCACUUGGGCUGUCAUGGCCUGAGCCGGGCGCAUCGCCGGCCCGUCUUAAGCUCACGUGGCUUUGGCGGAGCUUGAGCGUGCACGUUGAGACCCGAAAGAUGGUGAACUAUGCCUGGGCAGGAUGAAGCCAGGGGAAACUCUGGUGGAGGUCCGUAGCGAUUCUGACGUGCAAAUCGAUCGUCUGACCUGGGUAUAGGGGCGAAAGACUAAUCGAACCAUCUAGUAGCUGGUUCCCUCCGAAGUUUCCCUCAGGAUAGCUGGCACUCGGAGAACGUAGUCUCUCCCGGUAAAGCGAAUGAUUAGAGGUCUUGGGGUCGAAACGGCUUCAACCUAUUCUCAAACUUUAAAUGGGUGAGAAGUCCGGCUUGCUUAAAUGCGAAGCUGAAGUCCGGACGUUGGAUACGAGCGCCUAGUGGGCCACUUUUGGUAAGCAGAACUGGCGCUGUGGGAUGAACCGAACGCUGAGUUAUGGCGCCCGACGAGACGCUCAUGAGAUCCCAGAAAAGGUGUUGGUUGCUAUAGACAGCAGGACGGUGGCCAUGGAAGUCGGAACCCGCUAAGGAGUGUGUAACAACUCACCUGCCGAAGCAACUAGCCCUGAAAAUGGAUGGCGCUAGAGCGUCUGGCCUAUACUCGGCCGUUGCAGCAGCAGCAACGAUAAGUCAAGCUGCGACGAGUAGGAGGGUCGCGGCGGUGGCGUCGAAGGCUUACGGGCGUGAGCCUGGCUGGAGCCGCCGUCGGUGCAGAUCUUGGUGGUAGUAGCAAAUACUCAAGCGAGAACCUUGAGGACUGAAGUGGAGAAGGGUUCCAUGUGAACAGCAGUUGAACAUGGGUCAGUCGAUCCUAAGGUAUCGGCGAAAGCCGUUCAGAAGCGGUGUGGAUAGUGUCUUCGGGCACUGGUUGUUGUAUUGGCUUUACGGUUAGUGCAAUGAUCACCGCACCUACCGAAAGGGAAUCGGGUUAAUAUUCCCGAACCCGGCAUCGGAUAUUGGUUUGCUCUCGGGUAAACACAUGCGGUAACGCAAAUGAACUCGGAAACGCUGACAUGUGCCCUAGAAAGAGUUGUCUUUUCUUCAUAAGGCACAGGCUCCCUGGAAUCGGAUCAUCCGGCGAUAGGGAGAUGGUGUCCGUAGAGCACCGCGGUUCUUGCGGUGUCUGGUGCGCACAUGUCGGUCCUUGAAAAUCCGAGGGAGAGUGUGAUUUUCGUGCCGGAUCGUACCCAUAUCCGCAGCAGGUCUCC